GAGAGCGAUGGGACAGACACACUGACACACUGAUACACACACUGGGAGCGCCCCUCACGUGAUGUCACGGGCAGGUGGGCUUGAAGUAAAAGCCACAGUAAUGUUCCAGAGUGAACAGAACAGCACGAAAAAGAUCAAUAAGGUCAAGAUUAAUGAGUGCCUUCAUUAGAUUCUGAUGUCGCUUCUGUCAAAAAGUGGUACAGCAAGGAUCAGAACAUAUUUCCUGUGCCAUGGCAGACCACCUUUAACAAGCCCCUGGACAGUUUGGCAGUGGAGGCUACACGUCCAAUCCAAA
Molecule: long non-coding RNA, 295 nt
Organism: Colossoma macropomum (tambaqui)
Lineage: Eukaryota; Metazoa; Chordata; Actinopteri; Characiformes; Serrasalmidae
Exons: 3
Source: RefSeq, a predicted model, not a curated record